AAAAUGUUAUUAUAUUUUGCACAACACUUUGUCUAUCCAAACCAAAAUUACAAUAACAUUUAAUCACCAAGCAAGAUAUCGUAUACCACUUUCAUCAUAGAUAUUUUUUGGUACGUAAGAACAAACUGAUUUGCCAGCAAAGCUAUGCUAAUAACAAAUUCUCUGGAGACUUCAAUGGCUGAAAGUUUGCAACAUAGUAGUAUGCGAAUAUAGAUAAAAAAUGAAGAAUUUAUGUAGCUUACGGAGCAAUGCUCAAUACAAAGAAAAACAGUAAAAUCAUAUGCAUAAUAUGGUGAUAUUGGUAGUUUGUUACUUUUACCAGCAAAGAAGAUAAUUUGUGUACGAAAUGAACCAAAUUCUAGUUACUUGACGUCCAAACUAUUCCAGUUGACGGCCUUCCUCAUGCAGCCUUGGUCCAAGCUAGCAAGCUCAUCUUUCCUAUUAGGGUUGAACAACAAACCAAAAUUAAAUGCAGUUAGCCUCAGCUUAUGGACUUAACUAAAACCUCACCUUUGACAGUCCAAUGGGCUAUGUUCUGUGGCACAACACAUACAUACAGGUAUUCCCUUAAUUAUUAAUUUAUGCUCAAUAACUCUGCAGAUUGAAAUGCAGUUAGCCUCGGCUUAUGGACUUAAAUGGUCUAGUAUAAACUUUUACCUACCUUGUGAUGACGGGGGAUUUUCACAAUCACAUCAUAACCCAAAAAAGGAUAGAGAUGGGCAGAGACCAUGAGAUCGCCAUAAUUAACUAAGCACGACAAACAUACAAAUGAAAAGUAUCGUCAAGCAUAAACUGGGGAAUUGACAUUCAUCACGUGCCUUACCAAAAUUGGUUGUGCCAAUCUCACAUUAGAAGUCUGUGCCAAGACCAGGAUUAGAUGUUGAUGCAAUGCAUAUGCAUAGAUUGCGGU
RNAcentral lists this long non-coding RNA (910 nucleotides) under Triticum aestivum (bread wheat). RNAcentral describes it as "long non-coding RNA (TAES_LNC003391)". Lineage: Eukaryota; Viridiplantae; Streptophyta; Magnoliopsida; Poales; Poaceae. The record is from RNAcentral.